Molecule: ribosomal RNA, 277 nt
Filed under: uncultured bacterium
Lineage: Bacteria
Description: partial 16S ribosomal RNA
Rfam family: Bacterial small subunit ribosomal RNA
Source: RNAcentral
UACAGAGGGUGCGAGCGUUGUCCGGAUCACUGGGCGUAAGGCGCGUAGGUGCGCGACAGUCAGUGGUGAAAAGUCGACGCUCACGUCGAAAUCGGCCACUGAUACUGUUUGGGCUUUGAGCACUGUAGAGGGCUAAAUGAAAUUUCCGGGUGUAGCGGGUGGGAAAUGCGUAGAGAUCCGGGAAAGAAACACCCGGGUGGGCGAAAGGGCGGGUUUAGCUGGGCAGUUUGCUGGGACACUUUGAGGGGCGCGACAGCGUGGGAGCAAAACAGGGGAU